Molecule: long non-coding RNA, 2593 nt
Organism: Lycium ferocissimum
Lineage: Eukaryota; Viridiplantae; Streptophyta; Magnoliopsida; Solanales; Solanaceae
Exons: 2
Source: RefSeq, a predicted model, not a curated record
UAAGGAAUAAACAAGGAAAUAGCCGAGGUCAUUCUAUAAGGUAAUAUAUUAUAUAGUUUUUCAGAUUUUUGAAAUACAGCUCACAAACAAAGAUGUUCUCAAGAUAAAUGAAGAAGAAUACAAACAAAGCUGAAUACUAUUCAUUUUAAUUGGCAUAGUUGUUCUUUUUGAACUAAAUUGCAUAUCAACAGUUUUAGAUCAUAUAAUUUGAAAGAAAUUACAGUUAAACCACAUAUCAGCACACAUAGUAAAUAGAAACCUAGGGUAGAAAUCAAAUUUAAUAUGCAAAGCUAGUUUGUCUACCAUGAGUAUGACCCAUACUUGUGGAAACUAAAAUUCCUCCUAAAUUGCUUCCUGUAUUUUGGGACGCAAAGCUAAAAGUUUGUCUAAAAUACUUUUAUUAAGGACAACAAGUAUUUUGAUACCAGUUGUUAUGAGACAAUCAAGAAUUCGAGAAAUAAUAACAAACAAAAAAAAGAACAAGAAACAAUAUAGUUUUAACAUGGAAUCCUUAAGGGAAGAAAACUACAAGGCAGUGUGUUCUUUUGAUUGGUUGUCGGUCUUCUAUGUUGCUUUGGUUGCUGAUCAACCCAGUGUGCUGUGAUCGUGUUAAUUGGUAAGCUCUCUUCGGAGAACAACAAGAUUGUUUUUUGAUUGUUAAUGUCACGACCCAAUUUGGCUAAGUUGUGCGGGCACUUAUCUUUUUGACCUCGAUAAGCGAACCCUCAACCAACGAUAAUAAAGACAUAAUUAAAUAAGUCAAAUAAGAAAUAGAGAAUAAAUCACGUAAUUCUGAUGAUAAUAAAAUAGAAAAAGUGCGGAAAUAAGAAAAUACACCCAGGGUUUCGUCUAAUCCAUACAAGAGCAUCUAACUAUAAUCUACAAGUCUAGAAUAUCAACAAUACAUCAACACUGAAUAUGUCUCGGAAUAGAAAAUAAGACAUAAAUAAAAUAGAAUCUUCAAGGCGGCGGACUUCUGGUGCUCACCCUAUAGACUCUAAGAAAAUUUCGGGGCGACUAUCAGCCACAAGAAACAGAAGUAGAUCCAACCUGAAAUUUUGCAUUCAUAAAAGAAUGCAGCGCGUGCAGGUGAGUACAAAACUACAGUACUGGUAGGUAUCAUCGGCCGGCUAAGUUUAGCUAACAUAAUCCAGACAAUAAAGCAAGAUAAACAGAUAAAUCAAUAAGUAUAAGUUAAACACAAGUCAGAACCAAGUACACGUCAUCACCUAGGUUGAAGCAUUUAAACCCAACUGUGCCAAGUCUCAAUAUCUCCAAUCCGAAACCAAAUAACACAAGAAAAUCACCAGAUCAUCACAAAUAAAGCCAUAAUGCAAUGCAACAAUGUAUGAAUGCAUAUGCAAUGCAAUGCAAUGUUAUGUACACAUGUACUUCGGACGGAAGUAUCGACUUUUCGGUAGCACAACCCAUGGGGGACCCGCGAAGUCCAUGUACCUCACUCAAUCCAUGAUUUCGGGACAACUAUCGGAUAUCGCACUCUCACAUCACUCUACUCAAUCCAUGAUUCCGGGACAACCAUCGGAUAUCAGAGUUCUCACAUCACUCCACUCAAUCCAUGAUUCCAAGAUAACUAUCGGAUAUCGGACUUCUCACAUCACUCUCAUGCAAGCUGAGCCCAGCUCAUGAUAGUGUUUCCUCAAGUAUCAUCAAUGUAUCAACAAUAUAUCAUGAAGGAGGAGAAAGCGUGCAAUGUAUGAGCUAACAUCAAUAAUAAGAUCAAUAUCACAAGUACCAAGCAUGGGUAAGCUAACAAUAUCAUGAAAGACUAAACAAGUCAUAUAAAAUACUAUCCUCGUAUCAAACAUCAACAAGUGAGGUACCACAAUAUCAUGAACAAGAUAGAUCAAUAGUCUCCAAUAUCUACUAUCACUACGCGACAUCAAGCCCACAACAAUAGAACAAAUCAGGUCACACCACAACGGGGUGGCUAGCCCCAAUCACACAACAGGGCCUAACCUAAGACAAUAUCCAACCCAACUUCAUACCUGAAGGUUUACAUGGUUUCUCCAACAAUAUCAUCUAAAUAUAUGCUUCACUAAAUGAAGUCUCACCAAGGGUAAUCCAUAACCUACCUGGAUGGCCGAACAACAAUACCCUAACAAUCACUUCUUAGCCUUUUCCUUCCGCUGAACCUCAAGAUCAAGUAAGUCUAGGCAUAUUUGAAUCUAGAUUAGAAAUCUUGAAGAUCGAUACCUAUAUCGCUAUCAUUCAAAUUGGGUCAAAAUCAACCCUAGAAUUUGGGAAAACGGGGCCCACAAGGGCAAACGGGAAAUUCGGGGGUAAAUUAUCCAAUUAAACACUAGGUGAUCAAAACCCAUUAACUAAUUUCUAAACUAACUCAAGGAUUCAUCCAAUUUCGAAAUCCAAGCAAAACCCCCAAUUUUGGAUAUAAACCCUAACUCUUAAAUUCAAGAAUUCAACACUAAUAAUGAAAGGUAUAUGAUUAACAACCUUAGAUACAUCAUAAUCUAGCAUAACCGAAUCAAUUUCAUCAUUUAAAAGCCUAGAUAGAAAAUCCAUCAAACCUACUUUUAAUUUUCCAUUACUAAUGAACUAACAGGGAAAAGGGAUU